GAUGAACGCUGGCGGCGUGCCUAAUACAUGCAAGUCGAGCGAACGGACGAGAAGCUUGCUUCUCUGAUGUUAACGGCGGACGGGUGAGUAACACGUGGAUAACCUACCUAUAAGACUGGGAUAACUUCGGGAAACCGGAGCUAAUACCGGAUAAUAUUUUGAACCGCAUGGUUCAAAAGUGAAAGACGGUCUUGCUGUCACUUAUAGAUGGAUCCGCGCUGCAUUAGCUAGUUGGUAAGGUAACGGCUUACCAAGGCAACGAUGCAUAGCCGACCUGAGAGGGUGAUCGGCCACACUGGAACUGAGACACGGUCCAGACUCCUACGGGAGGCAGCAGUAGGGAAUCUUCCGCAAUGGGCGAAAGCCUGACGGAGCAACGCCGCGUGAGUGAUGAAGGUCUUCGGAUCGUAAAACUCUGUUAUUAGGGAAGAACAUAUGUGUAAGUAACUGUGCACAACUUGACGGUACCUAAUCAGAAAGCCACGGCUAACUACGUG
Molecule: ribosomal RNA, 497 nt
Filed under: uncultured bacterium
Lineage: Bacteria
Description: partial 16S ribosomal RNA
Rfam family: Bacterial small subunit ribosomal RNA
Source: RNAcentral